RNAcentral lists this ribosomal RNA (408 nucleotides) under uncultured bacterium. Its description in RNAcentral is "bacterial SSU rRNA". It matches the Rfam family "Bacterial small subunit ribosomal RNA", at positions 355 to 776 of the family's 1533-position model. The record is from RNAcentral.
UGGGGAAUAUUGCACAAUGGGGGAAACCCUGAUGCAGCAACGCCGCGUGAAGGAUGAAGGUUUUCGGAUCGUAAACUUCUAUCAAUAGGGACGAAACAAAUGACGGUACCUAAAUAAGAAGCCCCGGCUAACUACGUGCCAGCAGCCGCGGUAAUACGUAGGGGGCAAGCGUUAUCCGGAAUUACUGGGUGUAAAGGGAGCGUAGGCGGCAUGUCAAGCCAGAUGUGAAAGCCCGGGGCUUAACCCCGUGGAUUGCAUUUGGAACUGGCAAGCUAGAGUACAGGAGAGGAAAGCGGAAUUCCUAGUGUAGCGGUGAAAUGCGUAGAUAUUAGGAAGAACACCAGUGGCGAAGGCGGCUUUCUGGACUGAAACUGACGCUGAGGCUCGAAAGCGUGGGGAGCAAACAGG